AUUGAACGCUGGCGGCAGGCCUAACACAUGCAAGUCGGACGGUAGCACAGAGAGCUUGCUCUCGGGUGACGAGUGGCGGACGGGUGAGUAAUGUCUGGGGAUCUGCCCGAUAGAGGGGGAUAACCACUGGAAACGGUGGCUAAUACCGCAUAACGUCGCAAGACCAAAGAGGGGGACCUUCGGGCCUCUCACUAUCGGAUGAACCCGGAUGGGAUUAGCUAGUAGGCGGGGUAAUGGCCCACCUAGGCGACGAUCCCUAGCUGGUCUGAGAGGAUGACCAGCCAAACUGGAACUGAGACACGGUCCAGACUCCUACGGGAGGCAGCAGGGGGGAAUAUUGCACAAUGGGCGCAAGCCUGAUGCAGCCAUGCCGCGUGUAUGAAGAAGGCCUUCGGGUUGUAAAGUACUUUCAGCGGGGAGGAAGGCGGUGAGGUUAAUAACCUCACCGAUUGACGUUACCCGCAGAAGAAGCACCGGCUAACUCCGUGCCAGCCGCCGCCGUAA
Molecule: ribosomal RNA, 504 nt
Filed under: uncultured bacterium
Lineage: Bacteria
Description: partial 16S ribosomal RNA
Rfam family: Bacterial small subunit ribosomal RNA
Source: RNAcentral